Molecule: ribosomal RNA, 386 nt
Filed under: Streptococcus mitis
Lineage: Bacteria; Bacillati; Bacillota; Bacilli; Lactobacillales; Streptococcaceae
Description: bacterial SSU rRNA
Rfam family: Bacterial small subunit ribosomal RNA
Source: RNAcentral
GACGAACGCUGGCGGCGUGCCUAAUACAUGCAAGUAGAACGCUGAAGGAGGAGCUUGCUUCUCUGGAUGAGUUGCGAACGGGUGAGUAACGCGUAGGUAACCUGCCUGGUAGCGGGGGAUAACUAUUGGAAACGAUAGCUAAUACCGCAUAAUAGUAGAUGUUGCAUGACAUUUGCUUAAAAGGUGCAAUUGCAUCACUACCAGAUGGACCUGCGUUGUAUUAGCUAGUUGGUGAGGUAACGGCUCACCAAGGCAACGAUACAUAGCCGACCUGAGAGGGUGAUCGGCCACACUGGGACUGAGACACGGCCCAGACUCCUACGGGAGGCAGCAGUAGGGAAUCUUCGGCAAUGGACGGAAGUCUGACCGAGCAACGCCGCGUGAGU